CUGCCCUGGCGUCGGCGCUGCGGGUGUAAGGUUGCCAGGGCAACCAAGGGAAGCCGGAAGUGUAGCUCAGUGCCGCAGAUCGGUUUUUUGGAUUACAGUGACUGAAGGGCGCUUAGAAAAGAGCUUCCCCACAGAAGUACAGAAGAUGCAGAAUGAAUGCUACGCAAAGUACUGGAUAAGAUAAAACUUCCAGCAGCUUCAUAAGCAGUGUCAGACUGGCCAAGCAGGUGGCUGUAAUCCUUGGUGGUCCUGGUGGUCCCCAUUGACUCCUACCCUCAACUCUUGGAAGAAGGUGCUGAAAGCCUCUUGAUCCGGGACAGAUGAAGCAUGCUGAGAUUCCUAAUAAUUUGUUCCACUCAGAACAGUGAAGAUUUGUCAUUUUGCUGGUUGCUGCUGUCUGCUGCCAUUAGAUGCAUUAUUAGAACAUUUGUGUACUCAUUACACAUCACUUGUCUGGACGCGGGACUGACAGUAUAAGCUGCAAACCCUCAUUAUGGAACAUCGUAAAGGGGAACCCCGCCUCCCCAUGCUGGAAGUCAGGGUUACCCAGAAACCGCAGAAACAAAGAUUUGUGCCCCCCCAAGUUUUCAGAUCGUCUCAAGGAGUGCCAAAGGCGAUAGACCGACCACAGAAGGGGAUUAUCUUUCAGAUCCUGAUCACAGUCCGCCUCCAUACAGUGGAGGAAGUUUGUCAAAUUUUUAGAUUUUAUGAAUUGUGCCUCAAGGUGUGUAUUUGCAUAUGUGUCUUUAUCGUUUAACCAGUCUCUCAGGAAUCUCAAUAAAGAUGUGUGGUUAUAAAGUAAAA
Long non-coding RNA from Pseudophryne corroboree (corroboree frog), 804 nucleotides. RefSeq lists it as uncharacterized. NCBI's taxonomy places the organism in Eukaryota, Metazoa, Chordata, Amphibia, Anura, Myobatrachidae. The record is from RefSeq and is a predicted model, not a curated record. The transcript has 5 exons.